AACGAACGCUGGCGGCAUGCCUAACACAUGCAAGUCGAACGAGACCUUCGGGUCUUGUGGCGCACGGGUGCGUAACGCGUGGGAACCUGCCCUUAGGUUCGGAAUACCUCCCCGAAAGGGGUGCUAAUACCAGAUAAUGUCUUCGGACCAAAGAUUUAUUGCCUUUGGAUGGGCGCGCGUUGGAUUAGCUAGUUGGUAGGGUAAAAGCCUAGCAAGGCGACGAUGCAGAGCUGGUCUGAGAGGAUGAUCAGCCACACUGGGACUGAGACACGGCCCAGACUCGUACGGGAGGGAGCAGAGGGGAACAUAGGAGAAGGGGCGAAAGCCUGGUCCAGCAGUGCGGGGGAUGUGGGGAAGGCCGUAGGGUAGUAAAGCUCUUUUAGCCGGGAUGAGAAUGACGGUACCGGGUGAAUAAGCUCCGGCUAACUCCGUG
RNAcentral lists this ribosomal RNA (433 nucleotides) under uncultured bacterium. RNAcentral describes it as "partial 16S ribosomal RNA". It matches the Rfam family "Bacterial small subunit ribosomal RNA", at positions 29 to 507 of the family's 1533-position model. The record is from RNAcentral.